AAUCUAUGCUCGCGACUGGUUGUCGCAAAGUAUGACGUGUACAGCUAGUUGCAAGCGUGCACGAGUUCUCAGAGCUAGGGAAAAAAAGAGCCACUGGCUGUGUCUACUACCGCGCACUUGUGCACUUCGAGCACUGACUUUCAGUGCUUAGGGCGCUUACACUGACAGAACCAGAAGAAUUCAGUGCACUGAAAGUACCCGGAUGACGCACUGCAAACGGUCAAAAAAUGCAGUGUACAACGAUGGACACUACUCGCCCUAAACGGGUGCCAUAUUGGCUACGUAGCGGAAGAGGAGGAGCCCUUUCGGCAGCUUUUCAUUUCAUUUCUAAAAUAAUGGCGGACGAAAUGACUCGCGAGCAGAUUCGCCUUAGAUUCGCGGGUGUCACAAUCAGAUUUGCGUCCGUCACUUCCCGCCAAGUGGGUAACUUAAGUGUUCCAUUUGAGACAGCACUACUCAGCGACGGAGUGCACUACAGAUGUAAGUGCACUGUAUUGCAGUGUACUUAGUAAAGUUCGCGGUAGUAGACACAGCC
Molecule: long non-coding RNA, 535 nt
Organism: Osmerus eperlanus (European smelt)
Lineage: Eukaryota; Metazoa; Chordata; Actinopteri; Osmeriformes; Osmeridae
Exons: 2
Source: RefSeq, a predicted model, not a curated record